GGGUAACGGCCCACCAAAGCGACGAUCAGUAGUCGGCCUGAGAGGGUGAACGGCCACAUUGGGACUGAGACACGGCCCAAACUCCUACGGGAGGCAGCAUG
RNAcentral lists this ribosomal RNA (101 nucleotides) under uncultured bacterium. RNAcentral's name for it is "partial 16S ribosomal RNA". It matches the Rfam family "Bacterial small subunit ribosomal RNA", at positions 255 to 353 of the family's 1533-position model. The record is from RNAcentral.